This 480-nucleotide ribosomal RNA is filed under the name Xanthomonas melonis. RNAcentral describes it as "bacterial SSU rRNA". It matches the Rfam family "Bacterial small subunit ribosomal RNA", at positions 19 to 487 of the family's 1533-position model. Lineage: Bacteria; Pseudomonadati; Pseudomonadota; Gammaproteobacteria; Lysobacterales; Lysobacteraceae. The record is from RNAcentral.
CUGGCUCAGAGUGAACGCUGGCGGCAGGCCUAACACAUGCAAGUCGAACGGCAGCACAGUGGUAGCAAUACCAUGGGUGGCGAGUGGCGGACGGGUGAGGAAUACAUCGGAAUCUACCUUUUCCGUGGGGGAUAACGUAGGGAAACUUACGCUAAUACCGCAUACGACCUUAGGGUGAAAGCGGAGGACCUUCGGGCUUCGCGCGGAUAGAUGAGCCGAUGUCGGAUUAGCUAGUUGGCGGGGUAAAGGCCCACCAAGGCGACGAUCCGUAGCUGGUCUGAGAGGAUGAUCAGCCACACUGGAACUGAGACACGGUCCAGACUCCUACGGGAGGCAGCAGUGGGGAAUAUUGGACAAUGGGCGCAAGCCUGAUCCAGCCAUGCCGCGUGGGUGAAGAAGGCCUUCGGGUUGUAAAGCCCUUUUGUUGGGAAAGAAAAGCAGUCGGUUAAUACCCGAUUGUUCUGACGGUACCCAAAGAAU